CCUACGGGAGGCAGCAGUGGGGAAUUUUGGACAAUGGGCGCAAGCCUGAUCCAGCAAUGCCGCGUGCAGGAUGAAGGCCUUCGGGUUGUAAACUGCUUUUGUACGGAACGAAACGGUCCUUUCUAAUACAAGGGGCUAAUGACGGUACCGUAAGAAUAAGCACCGGCUAACUACGUGCCAGCAGCCGCGGUAAUACGUAGGGUGCGAGCGUUAAUCGGAAUUACUGGGCGUAAAGCGUGCGCAGGCGGUUAUAUAAGACAGAUGUGAAAUCCCCGGGCUCAACCUGGGACCUGCAUUUGUGACUGUAUAGCUAGAGUACGGUAGAGGGGGAUGGAAUUCCGCGUGUAGCAGUGAAAUGCGUAGAUAUGCGGAGGAACACCGAUGGCGAAGGCAAUCCCCUGGACCUGUACUGACGCUCAUGCACGAAAGCGUGGGGAGCAAACAGGAUUAGAUACCCUGGUAGUCCACGCCCUAAACGAUGUCAACUGGUUGUUGGGUCUUCACUNACUCAGUAACGAAGACACGACGUGAGUAGACCGCCGUGGGAGGUACGGCCGCGAGGUAGAACGUACGAAGAGUAGUAGACGNGNGAGAGCGACGACGACGACGACGGAGGGAGGAGG
This 623-nucleotide ribosomal RNA is filed under the name uncultured bacterium. Its description in RNAcentral is "bacterial SSU rRNA". The stretch from base 1 to 541 matches the Rfam family "Bacterial small subunit ribosomal RNA", at positions 338 to 873 of the family's 1533-position model. The record is from RNAcentral.